Molecule: ribosomal RNA, 468 nt
Filed under: uncultured bacterium
Lineage: Bacteria
Description: partial 16S ribosomal RNA
Rfam family: Bacterial small subunit ribosomal RNA
Source: RNAcentral
GACGAACGCUGGCGGCGUGCUUAACACAUGCAAGUCGAACGGAAAGGCCCUGCUUUUGUGGGGUGCUCGAGUGGCGAACGGGUGAGUAACACGUGUGUAACCUGCCCUUGACUUUGGGAUAACUUCAGGAAACUGGGGCUAAUACCGGACAGGAGCUCCUGCUGCAUGGUGGGGGUUGGAAAGUUUCGGCGGUUGGGGAUGGACUCGCGGCUUAUCAGCUUGUUGGUGGGGUAGUGGCUUACCAAGGCUUUGACGGGUAGCCGGACUGGGAGGGUGACCGGCCACAUUGGGACUGAGAUACGGCCCAGACUCCUACGGGAGGAAGCAGUGGGGAAUAGUGCACAAUGGGCGGAAGCCGUAUGCAACAACGCCGCGUGCGGGAUGACUGCCUUCGGGUUGUAAACCGCUUUCGCCUGUGACGAAGAGUGAGUGACGGUAAUGGGUAAAGAAGCACCGGCUAACUACGUG